CCCUCCUUAAGUUCUAGUUCAUUCGGCUCUCGCAGUGUACCUGGAUCUGAUCAUCAACCAAUAGAAGUUGAUAGCAUUCUAAAAGUAAGUCAUUUUAUUUUUUCAUUUUGCAUAUGUAAUCGAUUUUUGAAAAAAAUUUACCUUGACUUAUGACACCUGAUAAAUAAAAAGUCAGUCGGCCAUUUGACUCAUUAAUCUUUAAGCAAGGUGCUAUCUAUAACCAGGGCCGGAUUUACGUUUUUGGCGCCCUGUGCAGAAAUUUUCGAGGCGCCCCCCUCGCACCCCCCCCCUCGCCCGCGCAUUUCCCAACCCGACGGUCUUCUUUGGUUACUACGUGCUAACUCUAAAUAAAUACGAAUUUUUUUGAGUGAGUGAAUGAUUCUGGGGCAGAAACCAAAACCAGGUACCCGUGCCUGUUACUGUUAACUACGAAACUAAGAGAAAGUUUGACCCUUAAAGUCCAGGGUCAGGUCAUUUAAGAUGGAACGCAAUAAAUUAAUGGUUCCCUGAUGAAAUUUUGCAGAGUUCGGAGAAAAAAAACCCCAAAAUUUGGCGCCCCUCAAAAUCUGGCGCCCUUUGCAGCUGCACCGAUGCACCAUAGGUAAAUCCGGCCCUGUCUAUAACUGUUGAUGUUCUGUUUGAAUAACACUCAGUUGCAACCAGAAAUCACACUCAAAACAGUUUAAAAGGCCCAAUAACGGCUCCCUGAAACGGAAGGAAGAGAAUUUAAAUUAUAUCUAUCUAUUUAUCUAUAUUAUCCAUCUAUCUAUCUAUCUAUCUCAAACUAAAAGAUUGCGUAGAGAUUGUCAAUUUUUUUUAAUGUUCGUAAUCAAUUUGCGAUUUUUUCUUUGUACAGGAAAUGGCGGAUGAAAGAAUUAAUGCUCCUCUUACAGCCAUAGCGGCAAACUCCACGUAUUGAGACUGACAAUUCUAAAUUUGUGUUCAAUCCUGCAUUAGGCAAGAUGGAAUCAACAGUGCCUCUUUCAGACCUAAGAUCCCGCCGAACGGUGGACAGCAUUCUGGGACCCAGCGGUCGGAUUUCGGCCUUGCAGCCUCCCCCGGCUUUGAAACCCUCCGCACCAGCUCCAACGUUCGGUGGGUUAAGCCUGGUGAGCGACCUGGUCCUGUCGGAGGACAGCGACGACGACGAGAAGAAAGCGCCGCCGAUCCUGUCGCCGCCGUCGCCGGCUUCGCCGCCGACGCUCAACAUCUCCUCGCCGCCCCUCCCGCCCUCCGUGACGCCCCUCGGGCCCCUGGCCUCCCCCGGGCCCCUCGCGUCCCCCGCCUCCCCGGCACUCAAGCCCUUCCCGCCCUCCCCGGAGCCCGCCCAACUCAAGCCAUUCCCGCCCUCCCCCGUGGCGAGGCCCACCCCCUCGCCUACCCCGCAGCCUAAGCAAUCAGCGCCGAAACUGUCUCCAGCACUGAUAAACCUGACCUCGUCCAGUGACGAAGAGGAAGGAGAUGAUUCAGCCAGUGAUAGCGAUUCGGAGACGGAGGACUCGAGUAGCGACGCGGUGCCUCAGCCAGCAGCGCCACCCCCUCAAGAAGAGUCCAAGGGAAGAUGGAAUCUCAAGAACUUCCUCCGGACUCCCGCUGCAGACAGCCCUGUUAACAAAAACCAGGAGUCACCAACUGAGAGCAAAAAGGUGGAGGAUGACUCGGAGUUGGAGCAUUUGACGGAAGAGCUCAAGAAGCCUCCGAUAAUAUCCGACCUCUCUGACUCGGACGUCAACGAGAAGAAGAAGCGUUUCACCAAGAGCCAGAAGCAAAAACACCGGCCCUCAAUAACGGCUCCAGCUGUUGACGUCUCGAGCGAUGAGUACUCACCUCCCGUGCGACGCACCCCAAAACAAUCCGCUGCAAUUCGGAAAGCGCCGCCGACACCGUCAUCUCCACCAUCUGAUAUCGACUCUGACCAUAGUACAAAGUUCAAUAACUCAGAGUCCGUUAAAAAAGGUGGUGGGAAGAAGCGCCAGGUGAGUGUGACCAGUCAGUCAGAGGAGGAGCCGGAGAAAAUCAAACCGGUCCGUAAGUCGAAGAGGAGCAGCUACAGCACGGAUAGUAGUCGGCACGGGUCUGUGUCACCUGUGAAGAAGAGUCGAUCCAGCAAAGCUAAGUCUCCCGUCGCUGUGAAAGAAAAGAAAAGUAAAAAGAAUACUGUGUUAGCAGCCAGGGAGAAAGUUGCACCUUACUCAGGCAAGGUUGCCAAAAAGCAGCCGGCCAAGGUUGUCGUUACCUCAGAAUCUGAAGAAGAGCAGGAAAUCAAAGUGGAGCGCAAAAAGCGGGGACGCCCACGACUCAAACGGCCUAAAACACCCAAUGACUCUGACGACUUGUACGAGUCACAGAAGAAGUUGCAGAAAAAGGAAAGUCUCUGGAGCGAGUCAAGCGGAAUGAGUCAACAGACAAGCGGACUCUGAAAAGGCGGAAAAAGCCUGUUCAACGCCGGUCGAAAUCAAUUUCCUGUAAGUCCUCCGACAGUGAUGACAUCAUGAGUCCUCGUUCCUCUUCGCCCAUCAAACCUGCAUCACGUGCCAUGCCAAUGCCAGCCAUCUUCCGGCGAUCGCCGUCCCGCGAUUCGAGCUGCGACUCAAAGGCGGACUCGGAUACCAGCCCGCCGAGCGUCAACCACAAGGUCGAGGAAAGUCCACCCAAGCUCGGAGACGAAGGAAUAGCCAAAGACAAGAAGAAAAACGACACGUUGAGGAAAUUGUUCACCAUGGGCGGUGGAAAGGGUAAGGGCAAAGGGGGUGGCGGGAAAGGUGGCGGUAAAGGCAAAGGGGGCGUCAUUGUUGACUAUAUGGAUAGCGAUGAUCGUGUGAAACCCCCUCCGACCGGGAAACCAGUCCACCAAACGAACGGAUUCCAGCCCCUUGCGAUAUUAAAAUUGAGGAGCCCAGAAGUCCACCGCUGAUAUAUA
This 2920-nucleotide long non-coding RNA is filed under the name Bemisia tabaci. RNAcentral describes it as "lncRNA ENSSSA2NGG011605". The record is from RNAcentral. Lineage: Eukaryota; Metazoa; Arthropoda; Insecta; Hemiptera; Aleyrodidae.